RNAcentral lists this long non-coding RNA (1039 nucleotides) under Homo sapiens (human). RNAcentral's name for it is "non-protein coding SNHG15:4". The record is from RNAcentral. Lineage: Eukaryota; Metazoa; Chordata; Mammalia; Primates; Hominidae.
GUGCGCGGCGCAGCGCGCGGCGUCAGUCUUGGCUGGCAGACCUGUACUCCGUACUCCGUACUUCGUAGUCGCAGCGGCGCGGUCUUCGGCAGUCUAGUCAUCCACCGCCAUCCUGGGCCCCACGUGUUGCCUGACCAUUCCUGAGCCCAGGUGGGAGCCGUGGCUGAGGUGACGGUCUCAAAGUGGAAGAGCUUACUGUCACAGCAACUCCUUUGCAAGAUGCCCCGGCCAGGAAUAGUUGCUGAACACCCCAGGCCUGCUGAGGUCCCUCCUUGAGUCUCAUGUUCAAGCAGUCUUGUGAGUAAAGCACUGGCUACCCCUUUUCACUUACUAUCUUUUCAAGCAUGUUCUACCACCUUGGAAGGUAAGAGGUUAGUACCUUCUUCCAGAGCAGAGGGCAGGCAUUCUUGCUGUGCGUUGUGAAAGGGUAGAGUCCUGCGCUCCUUUCUUGUAGUAGUCCAAUGGCUCAUGCAGGUGCCUCUGACUCCCCUAUGGGAACUGGGGCUUGGGAGGGUGGUGGAAAAUGCUGAUGCUCUGGCUAUUGCUAUUGUUUUGAAUAAUCAGUGGUCCCUUGUCCCUAAUCGAGGAAUUUUGUAUUUUCUACCAGUGUCCAUGAAACUGGGAGGCGACCGUGUUAGCUGCCAGUUCCUGACAGCCACCUCUCACCAGUGGCUUCACUCUGUGUCCCUGACCCAGCACAUGGCACAAGAGUGCCUGCCAUCCGUCAGUGUUUCUACAGCAGCAAUCCCAAGAUGCUGGAGCUAGAGGGGACCUGACCUGAGAGAAGAUACCUUCAGUGGCUGCCAGGCUGUUCCUUGGAACCUGUGCAGGGGUAAGUGUGCAGGAAGGUCUGACCUGGCAAGUCACUUCACUCCUGUUUUAUUUAGAGUCACCUGGCUAAUGAAAAGUAUUUUGACCUUCCCGUAUGGUAAGUCAGGUGAUUGAAUCCCAGAAAGGUUCAUUGUCUUCAAGCUCACAAUACUAUUUUGGGACAAACAGUUGUCUAGUGUUUGGACUCAUGAACCCUGAUUCUUGAGGG